UUUUAUGGAGAGUUUGAUCCUGGCUCAGGAUGAACGCUGGCGGCGUGCCUAAUACAUGCAAGUCGAGCGAACGGACGAGAAGCUUGCUUCUCUGAUGUUAGCGGCGGACGGGUGAGUAACACGUGGAUAACC
This 132-nucleotide ribosomal RNA is filed under the name Staphylococcus aureus MRSA_CVMN26035PS. Its description in RNAcentral is "partial 16S ribosomal RNA". It matches the Rfam family "Bacterial small subunit ribosomal RNA", at positions 1 to 126 of the family's 1533-position model. The record is from RNAcentral. Lineage: Bacteria; Bacillati; Bacillota; Bacilli; Caryophanales; Staphylococcaceae.